Molecule: ribosomal RNA, 325 nt
Filed under: uncultured bacterium
Lineage: Bacteria
Description: bacterial SSU rRNA
Rfam family: Bacterial small subunit ribosomal RNA
Source: RNAcentral
GAUGAACGCUGGCGGCGUGCCUAACACAUGCAAGUCGAACGGAGUUCUUGAGGAAUGCGACUUCGGUCAAAUGACUUUUGAACUUAGUGGCGGACGGGUGAGUAACGCGUGAGCAACCUGCCUUUCAGAGGGGGAUAACAUUUGGAAACAGAUGCUAAUACCGCAUAAUGCAUCGGAUUCGCAUGUUUCUGAUGCCAAAGAUUUUAUCGCUGAAAGAUGAGCUCGCGUCUGAUUAGCUAGUUGGCGGGUAACGGCCCACCAAGGCGACGAUCAGUAGCCGGACUGAGAGGUUGAACGGCCACAUUGGGACUGAGACACGGCCCAG